RNAcentral lists this unclassified non-coding RNA (445 nucleotides) under Hevea brasiliensis (rubber tree). Lineage: Eukaryota; Viridiplantae; Streptophyta; Magnoliopsida; Malpighiales; Euphorbiaceae. The record is from RNAcentral.
CUUCUUGUUGAUGUUGGUGAUUGAAUUGAUAUAUAUGUGAUUAAAAUAUAUUAAAUUAAAAUGAAAUUUUAGAUAAUUUAUAAUAAAUAUAGUUGAGAUAAUGUUAGUUGACGAGGUAAUGUGAAAUACGCUAUAUAUUCAAUAACGGAAAAGCGAAAUACGAACAAAAAUUAGAUGCGAUUUUCACAUGUCUUUAGAUUCUAAUGGUUUGUUUUGGAAGAAACAUGUUUCCCAUGUGCAUUUUGAUUUUAUAGGACCAUGCUUUUAAAACAAAACGACAUUAGAAACUUGUUGAAUCGCCGAAACUAUACUUUGACUCCUAAUUUGAACACGUUUGGUAUUCCAUGCCAUUUUGUUUGUCAAUUUCGCAGUCUUUGUCACAUGCAAUUCUUUUAUUACGUUCUUCAUGAUUUAAAAUUUAUGAAAAUGGGAUUUUUUUUUUUAA